RNAcentral lists this ribosomal RNA (546 nucleotides) under Rhincodon typus (whale shark). Its description in RNAcentral is "partial 16S ribosomal RNA". It matches the Rfam family "Bacterial large subunit ribosomal RNA", at positions 1857 to 2586 of the family's 2925-position model. Lineage: Eukaryota; Metazoa; Chordata; Chondrichthyes; Orectolobiformes; Rhincodontidae. The record is from RNAcentral.
GCCUGCCCUGUGAUGAUAUUUUAACGGCCGCGGUAUCUUGACCGUGCGAAGGUAGCGUAAUCACUUGUCUUUUAAAUGAAGACCUGUAUGAAAGGCAUCACGAGAGUUUAACUGUCUCUACUUUCCAAUCAAUGAAAUUGAUCUUCCCGUGCAGAAGCGGGAAUAAACACAUUAGACGAGAAGACCCUAUGGAGCUUCAAAUACUUAAAUUAAUUAUGUAACUAUAUUAUAUUCCAAGGAUAUAAACAAACAAUACAAUAUUCCUAAUUUAACAUAUUUUUGGUUGGGGUGACCAAGGAGAAAAACAAAUCCUCCUUAUCGACUAAGUAUUUAUAUGCUUAAAAAUUAGAAUGACAAUUCUAAGUGAUAAAACAUUUAUCGAAAAAUGACCCAGGAUAUUUUUAAACCUGAUCAAUGAACCAAGUUACCCUAGGGAUAACAGCGCAAUCCUUUCCAAGAGUCCUUAUCGACGAAAGGGUUUACGACCUCGAUGUUGGAUCAGACAUCCUAAUGGUGUAACCGCUAUUAAGGGUUCGUUUGUUCACG